This is a long non-coding RNA of Scleropages formosus (Asian bonytongue), 1062 nucleotides long. RefSeq lists it as uncharacterized. NCBI's taxonomy places the organism in Eukaryota, Metazoa, Chordata, Actinopteri, Osteoglossiformes, Osteoglossidae. The transcript has 4 exons. The record is from RefSeq and is a predicted model, not a curated record.
UGAAAAAACAGCAUUUACGGUCCUGGAUUGGUGUGUGUCAGCACUUUGGGUUGGGGUUUGGCAUUAGAAUUGACAUAUUAGCAGUUUGUUACUCAGAUCCUUGUAAGUUGUCAGAUUCACUCUGUGCAUGCAUAUACUUUACCUACUGUACUUUGUUAAAAUAACUGUUCCUCCCACCCCCAUCUCCAGGGCUUCUAGCUGAACUCUUUGCAUUGCAAGUUGUGUCCCUGAAAGGCACUGCUGUCCUGCACUGCUAUAGAACACAAAACACUCCAGCAGAGCAGCAAGAUGUGAUCUGGAGGAUAACUGAAGGCCAACUUGUUGCCCAGUGGUUCCGGGGGCGGUUCACAGCAGGCCCUGGGUACGAGGGCAGAGCCCAGCUCUCUGAGAAAGGGAUAGAGGAUGGAAACUUCUCUUUAACCAUCUCACCUGUUGAGUACAAUGAUGAAGGUUUAUAUGACUGUUUCACAGGGUUUGAUCAUCUUGCUGUGGUGGAACUAGGUGUUUCUGUGUCCACAGACAGGAAUAUCACUGCACAGGUUGGGGACCCUGUCACUCUCCCCUGCUAUGCCAACGUCAGCAAACAGGCAAAUCUCAGUCAUCUUAACGUCCGCUGGGAGAAAGAUGGACAGACUGUGCUGGAUAUCCAUAUAUAUAUAUAAUACAGGGACACCUGAAGGGAUUAUUCUUUCUAUUGCAGGCCGUCAGUCAAACAUCACCAUCCAGUCACCUGAGUCCCUCUUCCUGCCGCUCCACAUUGUAGAACCAGUCCGUGUUCUGUUCAGUUCUGGUGGCUGCACCAGUGUGUCUGUGUGUACUGUGGAGGGAGAUUCUGUAGACUGUGGACCUCAGUACCAACACAGGGCGUCUGUCCACAACUCAACUCUGAUGCUGGAAUACACAACACCAGCUGACAGUGGUGUGUACAGAGUGAUGGACAACAGGACAAAUGACACCAUCAACACUGUAUCUGUCAGUGUUACUGUUUCUCCUACAGUGCUGUUCCCGCUCCUUUCUGUGUUGCUGCUGCUGGGGGCAUUGGUGUUAUUAUGGAUGACGGUA